This 273-nucleotide ribosomal RNA is filed under the name uncultured Staphylococcus sp. Its description in RNAcentral is "partial 16S ribosomal RNA". It matches the Rfam family "Bacterial small subunit ribosomal RNA", at positions 89 to 354 of the family's 1533-position model. Lineage: Bacteria; Bacillati; Bacillota; Bacilli; Caryophanales; Staphylococcaceae. The record is from RNAcentral.
ACGUUAGCGGCGGACGGGUGAGUAACACGUGGGUAACCUACCUAUAAGACUGGGAUAACUUCGGGAAACCGGAGCUAAUACCGGAUAAUAUUUCGAACCGCAUGGUUCGAUAGUGAAAGAUGGUUUUGCUAUCACUUAUAGAUGGACCUGCGCCGUAUUAGCUAGUUGGUAAGGUAACGGCUUACCAAGGCGACGAUACGUAGCCGACCUGAGAGGGUGAUCGGCCACACUGGAACUGAGGCACGGUCCAGACUCCUACGGGAGGCAGCAGGA